This 57-nucleotide microRNA precursor is filed under the name Dasypus novemcinctus (nine-banded armadillo). RNAcentral's name for it is "microRNA dno-mir-211 precursor". Its record names the gene dno-mir-211. It matches the Rfam family "mir-204 microRNA precursor family", at positions 16 to 74 of the family's 89-position model. The record is from miRBase by way of RNAcentral. Lineage: Eukaryota; Metazoa; Chordata; Mammalia; Cingulata; Dasypodidae.
UUCCCUUUGUCAUCCUUUGCCUAGGAUCCGAGUGGGGCAGGGACAACAAAGGGGUGC